AUUGCAGAUCGCCACCUUCUGCCAAAGGUUUUCACCGACUCUCUGGUCCGACGAGGAACGCUGCUGAGCCUGACUCUAGCAGGAGGAAUAUGAGCCACAAUUGUAUGAAAAUCUUUCCUGGACACCUUCGGAUAAGAUGAAAUAAACUUGGAGAAUGGCAUCUGUGUUGGAAGAAAGUUCUGGACUCCACAGUGGCUUGCUCCAGAAAAGCCAAACCAUCAGCUCUCUUGACAGCACAGAGAAUGCCAGUGUGUGGGAAACAGACCGCGGUCACCCUGAGCGGCAAGGGGCUUUCCAGUGCUUAGGCUCUGAAUGUGAAACAUUUUAGAAAGAGAUGAAACAAUUUUUUUCGCUUGUAUUUUCCUAUGUGUUUGAAGGUCGAUAGAUG
This 388-nucleotide long non-coding RNA is filed under the name Homo sapiens (human). Its description in RNAcentral is "non-protein coding lnc-TSHZ1-1:4". The record is from RNAcentral. Lineage: Eukaryota; Metazoa; Chordata; Mammalia; Primates; Hominidae.